UUCUCCUAGAUUGAUCUCAUUUCUAAUCAAAAGAUAGCUUAGAACCAACUAGGAAGCUUUCUAAUACCAUUAUUAAGCCUUUCCAAACAUCCCUAGGGCACCUACUUUGAACCCUAGCCAUCCACCAUUAGAGCACAUGAAGCUCACAUGGAUUUCAUGGUGUUCAUGGCCCAACAAUGCUUCUAAACAAGAGAGAAGCUCCAAACCUUAAGUUCUAUGGUGGAAAUCCAAACCCUAGAGUUCUAUUUGCAAGAGAACUCACCUUUGACCAAGCUCCUCCAAGAUCCUUCUUGUAGGAGAGCUUCUAGCACCUUCACAACCUCUAAAACCACCUUCUCCUAGCUUCUUCUCCUUCUCCUCCAAGCCCUAGGUCAAGCUCCUUUAGAGAGAGAAAGAGGAAAAUGAGAGGAAGAGUGUUUGGAGGUGUUUGCUAUGAAGGAGGAGGGUUUGGGGGUAUUUAUGACAUGUUACAAUUGCAACUAGGCCCUCCAAAAAUUCUUAUUUGCAACAGACCUCGUAGGUGCUGCCAGACCAAAGUGUACCGGUACACUUUGGGCUGUCACCUGUUACACGAUCGCGUAUGACAAAACCCGAGAGCAGAUUUCUCGGUUCGCAGGAUUUGUACCGGUACACUUUCAGCCAGACACAACACGAGAGCUCUUCUUCUCGGUCUGCGUAUCUGUACCGGUGACAACUCGAUGGUUGUACCGGUACACUUUGCCCAGACCUGGUUUUUGGCUUCGACUCGACUCCACUUCGCGUCGGCCGAUGCUAAAACCCUUCUAACUCUUUCUAAACUCACUUUUAGCCCUUCCAACAUUAUUGGAAUGUUAAAUGGAACUUGUUCCAUCGAUUUCUCUCGGUACUUUAACCUAAUUCGGGUAAAGUUCGAUAUUCACUUUCGGGUUUCAAUAUGUUAUAUUCUCCACCCCUUGAAUUUAGUUUCAUCCGCGAAACUACCUUUUUGAAAUUGAGAUUCAUACCUCAAUCCAGUUCCGCAAAGAGAUGAGGAUGACGCUCUCUCAUCACGUCCUCAAGCUCCUAUGUGUUUUCCUGAUCGUCGUGUUCACACCAAUGAACUUUAACAUACGGAAUUUCUCGAUUCUGUAGUUUCUUCACCUCUCGAUCAACGAUGAAAGCCGGAAACUUUUCAUAGGUCAUAUCCUCUUGAAGCUUGGUCGGCACAUACUCGAGAAUGUGCUCCGGAUCAUGAACAUACUUGCGGAGAUUGGAUACGUGGAACACGUCGUGCACUCCCGCAAGCCUCGGUGGUAAUGCCACUUUGUAAGCCACCGCACCGACCCGCUCCAAGAUCUCAAAUGGUCCGACAAAUCGGGGACUUAGCUUUUCCUGAACACCGAAUCUCUUAACACCGCGCAUCAGCGAUACCUUUAGAAAUACGCGGUCUUCAACCGCGAACUCGAUGUCUUUCCUUCGCUUGUUAGCAUAAUUUUUGUGCCUCGAUUGCGCCGUCGCUAAUCUUUGUCGGGCGAGGCGAACUUUCUCCUCCGCCUCCCGAACAACAUUGGGGCCAAGAGCAACUCUCUCAUCCACAUCGCUCCAAUGAAUCGGCGAGCGACAUUUCUUUCCAUAAAGGGCCUUGAAUGGCGCCAUCAUAAUACUUUCUUGAUAGCUAUUAUUGUAUGCGAAUUCCGCCAUCGGCAAAUGAUCGUGCCAUCCGCCCUUAUAGUCGAGUACACACGCUCGAAGCAUGUCCUCAAGUAUUUGAAUAGUCCUCUCCGAUUGACUGUCACUUUAAGGAUGAAAUGUCGUGCUAAAGUCGAGCCGUGUGCCUAAUGCGUCUUGCAAGCUCUUUCAAAAAUGAGAUGUGAACUGAGGGUCUCGAUCCAAUACAAUAGACAUCGGAACCCCGUGUAGUCUCACAAUCUCGUCGAGAUAAAUUUGAGCUAGCUUGUCUCCCGACCAAGUAGUGUGGAUCGGCAAAAAGUGUGCCGAUUUUGUCAACCGGUCCACCACUACCCAAAUCGCAUCAUGUCCGCCUUGAGAUCUAGGCAAACCCAUCACAAAGUCCAUUGCUAUGUUUUCCCAUUUCCACACGGGUAUCGGUAGACUUUGCAACUUUCCUGCCGGAAAUCGCCGUUCCACUUUGACUUGUUGGCACGUGAGACAUUGUGCCACGAACUCCCCGAUAUCCUUUUUCAUGCCCGGUCACCAAUUAUGUAACUUCAAGUCUUGAUACAUUUUAGUGUCGCCCGGGUGUACGCUAUAGGGAGAUUGAUGCGCUUCUUGCAUAACCGCCCUCCGAAGAUCAUCGUCCUUAGGCACUCACCAACGAUUCCGAAAUCGAAGUGCGCCAUCGGUCCCAAUGCCAAAAUCAUCGGCACUACCGCUCUCAACUUUACCCCGCACCUUUUGGAGAAAUGAAUCGAAAACUUGCAAUUCUGUAAUUCUCUCCAAUAUGGUUGGUUACACUAUCAACGUGGCUAGUGUUGCCGGCACUCCCGGUGCCACAACCUCAAGGCCAAACCGCUGCAUCCUUUUUUGCAAAGCCGGUUGAGGUGUAAUUGCCGUCGCCAAAUUUUUCGCCGACUUUCUACUUAGAGCAUCAGCCACGACAUUCGCCUUUUCGGGGUGGUAGAGAAUCAUGACGUCAUAGUCCUUUAACAGCUCCAACUACUGCCGCUGUCGCAAAUUUAAUUCCUUCUGGGUGAACAAGUAUUUGAGACUCUUAUGAUCGGUGUAGAUCUCACAAUGCUCACCAUACAAGUAAUGCCUCUAUAAUUUUAGCGCGAAGAUAACCGCCGCUAGCUUGAGGUCGUGAGUCUGGUAGUUCUUCUUAUAGCUCUUCAGCUGGCGCGAAGCAUAUGCUAUAACUCGGCCAUUUUGCAUCAAAACACACCCGAGACCGAUAUACGAGGCAUCACUAUACACUACAUAGCUCUCCCCCGGCGUCGGUAAGGCAAGCACCGGGGUCGAUGUCAAUCUUUCCUUUAACUCCUCGAAGCUCCUCUCACAUUCGGCGCUCCAAAUAUACUUUGCCCCUUUGUGUGUAAGGCGCGUUAGUGGAGUAGUUAUCUUGGCAAACCCUUCCAUGAACCGCCGAUAGUAGCCCGCAAGUUCGAGAAAGCUACGGAUCUCCGCUACACUUGUCGGGCGAGGCCAAUCUUUAAUAGCCUCCACUUUCUUUGGGUCCACCGAGAUGCCAUCACUGGAUAUAACGUGACCCAAGAAGAUAAUCUCCGAAAGCCAAAAUUUGCACUUUUUUAAUUUUGCAUAUAGCUUCUAUUUUCGGAGUGUCUCCAACACGAUCCUCAAGUGCUCCUCGUGUUCUUUCUCGGUCCGAGAAUAUACCAAUACGUCGUCAAUGAAGAUCAUGACGCACCGGUCCAAUAGCGGACGAAAGACUCGAUUCAUUAAGUCCAUAAAAGGUGUCGAGGCAUUAGUAAGCUCGAAUGGCAUAACCGUGAACUCAUAAUAGCCAUACCGCGUAUGGUACGCCGUUUUGUGCACAUUCUUGGGCCGUAUCUUCAAUUGAUGAUAACCCGAUUGAAGGUCGAUCUUUGAAUAUACCCUUGACCCUGCAACUGAUCGAAUAAGUCAUCAAUCCUCGACAACGGGUACUUGUUCUUGAUCGUCACCUUGUUCAACUCGCAAUAAUCAACGCAAAGUCGAAGUGUGCCGUCUUUUUUCUUCACAAAUAGCACCGGAGCUCCCCACGGAGGCACGCUCGAUCGUACAAAACUCUACCUGUGCCAUUCUAUACGGAGCCUUCGAAAUUGGCACCGCCCUGGGAAUUAAGUCAAUGACAAACUCGACUUUCCGGUCCGGUGGCAAUCCCGGUAAUUCCGCCGGAAACACAUCCGGAUACUUGCAUACAACCCGAAUAUUCCCCAAAUUCGGGUACUCCUUUUGAGAGUCUACGAUGGUCGCCAAAUAGGCCUUACAACUACCCUUUAUCAUUUUCCUCGCCCUCGCCGUCGAUAUGGUCGCCGCAAAGCGCACACCUUUACACACCCGGUAUACUAACUCUUCUUGAUUAGGCUCAUGGAAUGUGAUCAUCUUACUUUCGCAAUCAAUGACCGCGUAAUACUUGGAGAGCCAAUUGAUCCCCAAGAUUCCAUCAAAGCCCUACAUUUGCUUCAACACUAAUAGGUCGAUCGGCAUGAUCCAAUCACCUAUCUAUAUUGGACACUCUCGACACUCGUCAUAUACACGGAACGAAUGCCCUGGUGUAUUCACUGUCCAAUAGUCCUCGACAUUUGUGACCUCUAUGUCAUGAGCUAGUACAAAUGAUGCUGAUAUGCAUGAAUGCGAUGCACCUGUGUAAAAUAACACUCUAGUUCUAAUGCCUCGGAUCAAGAUAAUACCUGCCACGACAUCGUCGGGAACUGCAACCGGCUGCUCCUCCACCUGAGUGGCAAAAACCCGCCCACUAGGUGCCCGAGAGGCCUCCGGCUGUCGAGGCGCUGAUAAUCGUCCAGCCGACACUGCGGAUGGCAGUCUUGCCAGCUAUCGCGGAGUGUACUGGACUAAAGUUGCUGAAGGCACUGGGGAUGCGCCGCCCGGACACUCCCAACUCAUGUGUCCUGCUUGGCCGCAGUGAUAACACUUCCCUUCGCGCUGGGAGCACUCACUCGGCCUAUGACUCCCGUCGCAAAUGAUACACGGGAAGGUGGUCGUCUGGCUCCUCGACUGACUCCUACCUCUCCGCCACUGUGAUCGCUAAGGUCGCGGGGGUCGCUUGAAGCCCGACUGCCCUGCAGAUCCGCUAGUUGCCCGCUUUUUGGACUUAUCUUUUUCCUCGUCCUUCUCGAAAGCCUCGCGCUCAUCUUGCGCAAUGGCAUUGCCACGCUCCACCCAAAGCGCGCGAUCAAGCACUUCCUCGUAGGUCUUCAACCUAAAGGCAUGAAUGACCUUGAAGAUUCGGGUCGCAACCCGCGCUCGAAUGCCUCCGCUCGGUCCCUAUCGCCAUGGAACAAGCCCGACACGCAGUUGAUCAUGUGCGUGAACUCUUUCUCGUACUCCCGCACCGAUCGGCUACCUUGUCUCAACUUGCGAAAGUCUUCUUUGAUCUUCCGCUUGUCGCUUUCGGGAAAGUACUCCAGCAAGAGCAUCUCCCAAAAUAUCUCCCAAGUGAUGGAAGCGAGAUCCAACGAGCGACCUUUCCUUGCUUGGUUCCACCACAACCUCACCGACCCCUCGAAGCAAUGGGCCGCAAGGUGAACUUUAUCCUUCUCAAGGGUGUAGAUGUCCUUGAACAAUGCCUCCAUCACGGCUAACCAUGACUCCACCGACCAUAGAUCCUUCACGUCACCGUUGAAGGUUGGAGGGUUGAACCGCUUGAAUGUCGUCAACACUGCUAGUGACCGCUCCUGCUUGGCCUCAAGUACAUCGGGUAGAGGAGCCGAUGAACCCGAUGCCAUCUGAGGAAUAGCCGUCACCGCUACUACUGCUGUCGCUGGAGGUGGUGCAACUAGGGCAACAGGUACAGGCGGAUCCCUCGGCACAGAUGCCGCAACCUGUCGCGACACCAACUCGUGAGUUGUCCUAUCUGCCCCCCCUGCUGCCGCAUAGCCCCAGCCAAAGCCGCCACUUGGGCUCGCAGCGCACGAACCUCAUCUGAUCGAGACUGCUCGGGCUGCGCAAGAGGUGGUGCCGGUGUGGAUCGCGUCCUAGGGCGUCCCCUUUGUGCCAUCACGUCCUGAAAUGUAGCACACAUAUUAGUACUCGAUACACGUGACUCUUACACGUUCCAAAUAGCUAUCCAAUUAAGCGAAAGCAAUCGAGCAUAAUUAUUUUCCAACUCUCAGUGUCACGUGGUCGGCCGGCCCACACAAUCCCCUUAAGUAGAAAACAAAUUAAUACUUGAAUUCAUCUCUAAUUCCUUCUAGAGAAGUACUAUCUUUAACCCAAUCAACUAGCUUUCGCGUAUCCAAGUCUACGUUAAACGUUUCCUAAGUCCCUAAGGUCUCCAAGCCUAAGGUCCCUAAGUCCUUCCUAGACUUUUACUUUCACCAUUGCUCUGAUACAAUUAUAUCUGUCACGCCCCGAUCCCUGCCAAUUUGGUUGGGUUCGGCCAUGUCAACAGACGCCGAACGGACAGAACCUCCCCUGUCCGCCCAAGGCUCUAGCAACAAGUAUAAUAAAGCAAUCAACAAAAAGAUUUGCAAUUAUACAAGGCUUGCACGAGGGCAAGCAACAACGGAAGCGAAAGCUCUAAGCUAUAGCAUACAACCAUACAUGAUAUUUGAUUAAAUUUAAACAAAAUACAAGUGAACUAAGCUAUUACAUCCAUUUUGGUUUUAUUCAUAAAGUCUUUUACAUCUUAAUCAUUUACCAAAAUACAUGAUUGUUCUCAACUCAUACAUCUAUAGAUCAACAAAAUAAAAGUUGAUACAUGUAUACAAAACGGGAAUGACUAAAAUGUAAAUGCUCCGGUGGCCUCUAGCUAAGGCGCAAUACCCUUGCCUCGAUCCUCCGCCGCCCCGCUCGCGUUAGGAUCUGCAGGGUUAGUGGUGUGAGAACUAAACAAAGUUCCCAGUGGGUUCGGCAACCGACUUCGCCGACUUACCCACUAGGUCUAUGUAGGCAUUAGUAUUUCAAGAAAGAGAUAAGCAACCAUUAAUAAUGCUAAUACUAUGCCUGCAAGAAAACUGUCAGUGGAUAUAUAAUCAAAGCGAUAUUAAAGAUACAUGCAUGCUUUAUCCAUACUUUACUUUGGCUUUCUUUACCCAAUCUUACCGGUUAACCUUGUUAACCCCAAUAGCUCACAACUCCUAUCCCGUCUACCGGGGGAGGCUUUAAGCACAAUCGCCCGAGGGAUCGUCGACGGGGCACUCUCCCCGUGGUGUCUACACUCUGGAGUACACCACUUAAGGAGAAGCUACUUCUCUCAAGCCAAGUCCUAAUGUGAGUAUUGAUCCAAUUCCCAACUUGGGAAUACAUAGCCUGUCACACCCCGGAGCCGAUGCCAAUUUGGCCCGACCCGAGCACGUCAAACAGACGCCGAACGGACAGAGUUUCCCCUGUCCGCCCAAGGCUCAUCACAUGUACAAUUUUAAACAAGAAGUGCACUAGCGGAAACAUACAAAUACGGCUUACACGAGGGUAAGCAAUAGCCACGAGUGAGAGAAAGGAAACUAAACAUUCACUUGUACUAUGAUUUACUUUAGAUCACAUACAUUGUAUCUAUCCAACAUUUAUAAUUCUUGCAUUUCAUUAAAUUACAUUGCUUGCAUCAUUUCUUUUUACAUCACAUCUACCUCAAAAUAAGCUUUACAUUCUUUUCUUUACUUUAUACAUUAACAUCUUAAAUCAUCAAAUACAAAAGAUGAUAAAAGGGGUAAACUACUAACAAAAUGUAACCCAACUCCGGUGGCCUCUGACUACGGUGCGAUACCUUUACCGCGGUCGCUCGCCGGCUCGCUCGGUCCCGGCUCUGUGGAAUAGUGGGAUGAGAACUACAACAAAGUUUCCAGUGGGUUCGGCCCCAACAUCACCGACUUUCCCACUAGGACUAACUCAGGCAUAAUAGAAAGGAUAAGCUGAAAUAUAGUAACCAAUCUACAACAUGAUGCUAAUAUGCCUGAACAAUAAGCAAGGAAUAUGCUCAACAUUAACAUAUGCAGAUUAUGCAAGUUCUUUCGUUCUUUAUCUUUACACUUUGUUCUUUGUUCUUUGCUCUUUGUUCUUUAUUCUUUAUUCUUUAAUCUCAAGGCUAACCCGGGGGUUUCGCCACAUUAAACUUGCUUCACAUUAAGUCCAUCAUCGCAGGAACUCACCAGCUAGGACCGUUCUUCGGGUUUACUCCAACCCGUGAUGCGCAUAACUCCGGAGCGCAUCAGGCCCUGAGGCGGAGGACCCGCCCUCGAGACGGACUCAAGCAAGUAUUGAUCAUUAUCUUAAUCAAAGCAUUAUAAGUUCAAUCUUGACUUUACCUUAGCUUAGUGUCCUUUACAUCACCUUUAUGUUGCAAAUCAUGCCAAUCACAUUCUUUACAUUUCCUUACUUUUGCACUCUAGCUAUUCUUGUUCUGUUAAAUUCUUUGUUUCGUUAUUGCCCCACUUUACUUUAACCUUACACAUGUCCAUUUUCGAUCAUUCUUACAUCACUUAUGGUUCUUUGCAUCACACUAACUCUAGUGUUCUUUACUUUACAUUUGCAAAUGCCACUCGAUCUAUGUCAUAGUGUCACUCUGUUCUUUUGCUCACUUUGGGUGCUCACUUUUCUCUCAUGCAUACACAUAGGGUUUUACAUUCAUAAGGUUCUCAACCAUCACAUUAGGCAAGUUGUACUCACAAUCAUGCAAUAUCACAUUUCUAUCAUCACUUUACUCUAAAAUGUAUGCAACAAUGUAUAUACAAAUGCUCAAUUGAAUGACACAUUAGGCAUAGAGAGAAGUUCAACGAGUUUGGAAAGCACCACCCACCUCGUAGGUCUAUUUAGGUGCUCCAAUGAUUUUCUUGAGAUUUAUAGGCUCCUCGUUCUUCACCUGCGGCAAAACGAAGCCAACUUAGGCCAUUUUGCCUAUAUCUUUACAUCGGCUUUUCGUAACGUUAAUUCGAGCGCACCAACGCGUCGGAAAUGCCCCCAAUUAGGUUUCUAGAGGGCCAAUUGCACUUAGAAAUCCUUAUGAGCAAAAGUCCCAAUUUGGGUGCCCUAGCUUCAAAGCAUCAUCUAACCUAGGCUUUGAUCUCAUUGGGAAGCAAAAGUAGCUUCAUUAUACUCUAGAAAGUCCAUUAGAACCAUCUUUAGACAAAUCAAAACCCUACUUAGGGUUUCACCAUGAGAGGUGGUGGAGCUCACCUUCAAGCUUCACCAUUUCCAUGGCCAUGAUCUCAAAAGAAGCAAAAGAAAAGCUUCCAAUACUCCAAAAGCUCCAUAAAAACCAUUUCUAGGUUUACCCAAACCUUAGUUUGGGAGUUAACAUGAAAAAGGGCAAAGCUUACCUCUAAGCUUGCUCCUUUCUUGCACUAGAGAGAAAGAAGAUGGAGUUGCUUCACUCCAAUGGCUUCUUCUCCACUUUCUUCUUCUUCUUUUCCUUUCUUUCCUUGUCUUCUUCUUCUGCUCCUUUGGCUUCUAGAGAGAGAGAGGGAGAGAAGAGAGUGUGAGAGAAUGAGAAUGAGAGAAAUGUCUCAUUUGUCCCCUUACUAUACUGUAUGGGUUGCAAAAUUGCAGCUAAACCCCUCAACAUUCACUCUUUCACACUGUCUGGACUGGGCUGUUCACGUAGGCGGGGACCGGUCUCUCCAUCAGGGACCGGUUCCCGAAGGUCGUCCCAGCGCAGCCAGAGCUGCUGCGGGCGAUGCAUCCGGUCUCUCCUUGGGGGACCGGUCUCUCAGGCAGGGACCGGUUCUCGAGAGCUGGUUUCUCAGGACUUAGCCGAUUUUUCGGCUGUCUCAAUUCACACGCGUUCAGGGACCGGUCUCUCCCACCAGGGCCCGGUCCCCGAGAGCUCAAAACUGCAGAAUGCCGAUUUUGAUUCUAUAGCUUCGAAAACCUCCCGUAACUCACUUUUAAUCAUUUUAACACCUUCGGACUUUCCAAAUUGUACCGUCUUCGCACUUUGGUCAAUUUGACUAAAGUUCGACAUUUUUAUUUUCCGAAUUUUCGGUAUAUUACAUAGCCACUAGUCACAAUGUCACUAUUGUUUAAACUAGGUUUAAUAAUGUGUAUCUCAAUGCCAAUCAAGUCACUAUGUCAACGUCACCUUUGUUUACUAUAGUCAUAGUCUUUUUCCCACAUUCACAUGCACAUAGGGUUUUCACAUACAAGUUCUCUCGUUUCUUUAUCAUUCACAUACUCUUUUAUGCAUCUAUAUGCAAUUCAACUAAGCACAAUAAUAAGCUACCCUAUAUGCAAGAAUGCAACAAUUUAAAAUGCUCAAGGGAUAUAGACAUAGGAGGGAAUCCAACGAUUCCGGAAUGCACCCCCCACCUCGAAUGAUCAUAAAAGGGUUGAAGUUCGACUCUCGGAAUUUUUAGAACGUCUCUCCCGCGACCUAUACCCAAAAUAGUGCUGAAUUAGACCCUAUAUGCAAGAUCUCAUAUCUAGACUUUUUAUUUCGACGAACGGAGUUGUCCCACGCGUCGGGAAUACCCCUAAUUAGGUUUCCAAGAGGCAAUUUACCUCGAAAACGAUCCAAAAGCCCCAAAAUUCAUGCCCUAACAAUGUCAUAAUGAGAUUUCUCCUAGAUUGAUCUCAUUCAUAAGCAAAAGAUAGCUUAGAACCAACUAGGAAACUUUCUAAUACCAUUAUUAAGCCUUUCCAAACACCCUUAGGGCAUCUACUUUGAACCCUAGCCAUCCACCAUUAGAGCACAUGAAGCUCACAUGGAUUUCAUGGUGUUCAUGGCCCAAUAAUGCUUCUAAACAAGAGAGAAGCUCCAAACCUUAAGUUCUAUGGUGGAAAUCCAAACCCUAGAGUUCUACUUGCAAGAGAACUCACCUUUGACCAAGCUCUCCAAGAUCUUUCUUGUAGGAGAGCUUCUAGCACCUUCAAACCUCCAAAACCACAUUCUCCUAGCUUCUUCUCCUUCUCCUCCAAGCCUUAGGUCAAGCUCCUUUAGAGAGAGAAAGAGGAAAAUGAGAGGGAGAGUGUUUGGGGGUGUUUGCUGUGAAGGGGGAGGGUUUGGGGGUAUUUAUGUCAUGUUACAAUUGCAACUAGGGCCCCCAAAAAUCUCUAUUUGCAACAGACCUCGUAGGUGCUGCCAGACCAAAGUGUACCGGUACACUUUGGGCUGUCACCUGUUACACGAUCGCGUAUGACAAAACCCGAGAGCAGAUUUCUCGGUUCGCAGGAUUUGUACCGGUACACUUUCAAUUUGUACCGGUAUACUUUCAGCCAGACACAAACCCGAGAGCUCUUCCUCUCGUUCUGCGUAUCUGUACCGGUGACAACUCGAUGGUUGUACCGGUACACUUUGUCUAGACCUGGUUUUUGGCUUCGACUCGACUCC
Molecule: long non-coding RNA, 10918 nt
Filed under: Ananas comosus (pineapple)
Lineage: Eukaryota; Viridiplantae; Streptophyta; Magnoliopsida; Poales; Bromeliaceae
Description: long non-coding RNA (ACOM_LNC023611)
Source: RNAcentral